GCCGGGCGCGGUGGCGCGUGCCUCUAGUCCCAGCUACUCGGGAGGCUGAGGUGGGAGGAUCGCUUGAGCCCAGGAGUUCUGGGCUGUAGUGCGCUAUGCUGAUCGGAUGUCCACACUAAGUUCGGCAUCAAUAUGGUGACCUCCUGGGAGCAGGGGACCACCAGGUUGCCUAAGGAGGGGUGAACUGGCCCAGGUCGGAAAUGGAGCAGGUCAAAACUCCCGUGCUGAUCAGUAGUGGGAUCGCGCCUGUGAAUAGCCACUGCACUCUAACCUGGGCAACAUAGUGAGACCCUGUCUCU
This 299-nucleotide signal recognition particle RNA is filed under the name Saimiri boliviensis boliviensis (Bolivian squirrel monkey). RNAcentral's name for it is "Metazoan signal recognition particle RNA (ENSSBOG00000001632.1)". It matches the Rfam family "Metazoan signal recognition particle RNA". From Rfam's summary of the family: The signal recognition particle (SRP) is a universally conserved ribonucleoprotein. It is involved in the co-translational targeting of proteins to membranes. The eukaryotic SRP consists of a 300-nucleotide 7S RNA and six proteins: SRPs 72, 68, 54, 19, 14, and 9. Lineage: Eukaryota; Metazoa; Chordata; Mammalia; Primates; Cebidae. The record is from RNAcentral.